UUUUAAUGUUGUCAAAGUGAUUUAACAUAACACAAAACAAUUUCUGAAAAGAGGAGGCCUCCACUUGGCAGAACUGGUAACGCACCAACAUCUAGUCCUCAGGUGUCAUUUGAAGAUGGAGAUGGCUAAAACUCGGGACCAUCGAGCAUACCAGGAAUGCUGUCUACACUUGGAACAGUCUCCAGAGUAGCAGAUCCUGGCUGUACCAGAACAGAAAACAGAGCUUGUGUUCACUGGAUUUGGUCCCAGUAGGAAGGACAUUUUCUGGACUGGGAUAAGGAUGUGGUAUAAAGGAUAGUGAGAGGGAUGACAGUUUCACCUUGCCUUCACAAGAUAAGACACAUGAGGCACUGAGGAAGGUGGCAGUCUCAUUUUACCAUUUGGGUUUGAUAAAUUGAGAGAUAGCUGUCUGGCCUCUUUCCAGAAUUUAAAACCAACUGUAUGAUGAUGGGAACAGACAGUUAACACCCUUUGUAUUUAAUUACUACAAUUAUAUAAUGAUGUAUGCAGCACAGUAUCUUGAGACUUCAUUGUGUGAGGUCUUUUCUGAUGGAAGUCAAAGUCAGAGUAGUGAUGAUUUGUGAUCCUGAGGCCGAUUAUCUCCCUUAGACUGAUGAACAGUUAGACUUUUAGGUAGACAAUGUAAUUUGUGGAAUGGUGUUGUGUCUGUGAUGCCUGUGUGAAUAAAUAUGCAAUAUACAUUAAGAAGGAUAAUUUCUAAAGAUUUUCCUGGAAUCUUCUCUUUUUCAGAUUGUUUUAUAUUUUCCCUUGGGAUAUUGUGUAUUUGUAAUUUUUACAGUUUUUGUUCUUUUAUGUAAUUAACAUUUUUGUAUUUUUUCAUGGAAAGUUAUUUCAGAAUUUGUUCUGGAUCUACUUGAAAUACAAGGUAUUUGAAGAUUUUGAAAUAUCAGUUUUUCUGUAGGCUUCUUUAGAAGUUUUUAGAUUGAAUAUUGUAGAAAUCUGUGUCUCCUAUGGACUGAGUUAGGAAGAGAUCCACAUGCUUUGAGGAAUUCAUAGGGAGACAGAUGUUGUCUUGGUGUCACCUUCAACUGUGAAUUAAUUAACUUUGGUAUAAUGUUUAUGUAAUCCUGGUAAAUAACUAGCUGCAGUAGAGAACGCCUCUUUAGCUUGAUCUGUUUUAUUGGUGCCUAUGUACAUGAUGUAGUAACUCAAUAGUACUUAGCCAUGUCCCAUACACUUCCUUGUAACUCCUGGAUACUUGAGGAAAAGUUCCGUCCUGGAAGGGAAGUAUGUAACCCUGGUAAAUACUAGAGGCAAUACAUUUCUUGGCUGGAGAGAACUUUACCUUAAUUGAUUGAGCAUAUUAGUAAGCCAGAGGUUCCUUGUUUAAAUAAUGACCUUUGUUACAUAUAAUUGACAUGAUUUUUACUGGACAAAAUAAGUGAAGGGUCAUAAAUUGUUACCAUUAUAUAUUCUGAGAGGAAUUUAUAUGUUACCCAUAUUGGCUCCCUUACUUUUUUGAAUGUACAGCCAAUGUGUUGGUAAGGGUGUAUGCAUGUGUAUCAUGAGUUUAUAUUGUACUGCUCUAGUGCACUGUUAGUGUGAAUAAAUGACUGAUAAAUACUCAGGAAAUUCUGAGGUUUGAUUUUUGUAUAUUUUAACGAAAAUAUUGUAACGUUUUGGAGAUCAUACUCCCUACUAAGCCUCUGAUAUCAAUUUCUGGACUUGUCUCUGUGACUCUGAUGAUGUAACACUUUGAUUUACCUGGUAUU
This is a long non-coding RNA of Ylistrum balloti, 1733 nucleotides long. RefSeq lists it as uncharacterized. The record is from RefSeq and is a predicted model, not a curated record. Lineage: Eukaryota; Metazoa; Mollusca; Bivalvia; Pectinida; Pectinidae. The transcript has 3 exons.